This is a long non-coding RNA of Pomacea canaliculata, 1219 nucleotides long. RefSeq lists it as uncharacterized. The record is from RefSeq and is a predicted model, not a curated record. The transcript has 4 exons. NCBI's taxonomy places the organism in Eukaryota, Metazoa, Mollusca, Gastropoda, Architaenioglossa, Ampullariidae.
GGAGCAGAUAUCAAUCACCAAGAUUGUCGUGGCAACAGUCCCCUACACCUGGCUGUUAGUUAUUGGUCGAAGGCCGAAGUGGACUUGCAGAGCGAAUCAACAAGACGAGAGUACCACGCGCGUGUGGCCAUUGGUUGCAUGCUCAUCAGUAAGGGAGCCUACGUGGAUACAAAAAGCAAGAAGGGAUUCGAUCCCUUUCAGUUUGGUCUCUUUGAACUUCGCGAGAGCGUAAAAAGGUUUAUGAAACACAACCAACACCUUGUCAGAUGCAAGGACACAUCUCAUGCAGUGGACCCAGAUCUCUUUCGCCUUGUGUCGCCAUCGGCAUCGCCUAACAAAAGAGAAAGUUUCUUAUGGGUUAAGUGUGGUAUUUGCACGGUUCUCAGUCUCAGUUCACAUUUUUGACAUGUAAACACAAGCGGUCUGCAACAAGUGCAGCAGUCAAGGACGAUGUCCCAUUUGUCCAGCGGCCUCUAGUGACAAACACUUCACAGGACCUGAUGACUAAGUCAUCCACGUGUAGCCCAACCUGGAUGCUGCAUCUGAUUGGUUGAAACACUAUAACUGUUUCUCCAAAAGUUCUUCUAUCCCACGUGACACAGAAGUUGAUUACAGGAGCUGUUAGCUCCACUCAGUCAUCUGUAGGCAGCGUGCUGUCCCGCAAAUAGAAAGUGCGAUAAUGAUUGGAGUGAACUCGAAUGUUUGUAAGCAACAAGAGAUGGAGGCUACAAUACACUUUGAGGCUACAAUACACUAGUCUUGUUAUGUGUGGAGUGCUUGUGUCUGUGUUCAUGUCCUUCUUCCUCUUUCCUUCCUUGUCUAAACUACUAAGCAGGACUGAGAUAAUGUGAAGUAUGGUUAGUAGUAGUAAACGCCGAUGAUCUUCACAAGUAGUCUUGCUUGGCUAGACUGGGUUAAAAGUUUGUAUAUGAUUAAAUUAUUAUGUAAUAACAAAUACAGUUUUAGCCUAAAUAAAAUUACUGCUAAUAGAGAUGCUUUGAUCCACAUGUUUCUGUAACACAAAAAUAUCACUGUAUCCAAAAAAAAAAAUUGGAGAAUAAACGUGUAAUAAUAGUUUUGAGUUCCUAUAAGUUUUUUUUCGAUUUCCAGCUGUUAUUUGUUUUAUUCUCUAUUUAAUAAGUACAUAGCUUCACCACACUUUAUUCAUUCUUUCGAAAAAAAAUAAUAGCAGCAGGAACAACAACAACAACAACAACAA